GCCCAUGUAGCUCAGGUGGUUAGAGCGCGUCCUUGGUAAGGACGAGGUCAGCGGUUCAAUUCCGCUCGUGGGCUCCA
This 77-nucleotide transfer RNA is filed under the name Candidatus Goldiibacteriota bacterium. Its description in RNAcentral is "tRNA-Thr". It matches the Rfam family "tRNA". Rfam says of the family: Transfer RNA (tRNA) molecules are approximately 80 nucleotides in length. The record is from RNAcentral. Lineage: Bacteria; Candidatus Goldiibacteriota.